RNAcentral lists this ribosomal RNA (292 nucleotides) under uncultured Planctomycetota bacterium. RNAcentral's name for it is "uncultured planctomycete partial 16S ribosomal RNA". The record is from RNAcentral. Lineage: Bacteria; Pseudomonadati; Planctomycetota.
GGACUACCGGGGUAUCUAAUCCCGUUUGCUCCCCUGGCUUUCGCGCCUCAGCGUCAGAAAGGGUCCAGCACGUCGCUUUCGCCACCGGCGUUCCUUCCGAUAUCUACGCAUUUCACCGCUCCACCGGAAGUUCCACAUGCCCCUACCCCCCUCCAGGCCGCCAGUAUCAAAAGCCCUUCUGCCGUUGAGCGGCAGGAUUUCACCCCUGACUUGGCGGCCCGCCUACGCGCCCUUUAAGCCCAGUGAUUCCGAACAACGUUCGCACGGUUCGUCUUACCGCGGCGGCUGGCAC